AAGCUCGGCGGGGAAGAUGGCGGAUGACAAGGAUUCUCUUCCCAAACUUAAGGAUCUGGCAUUUCUCAAGAACCAGCUGGAGCACCUGCAGCAGCGUGUGGAAGACGAAGUCAAUAGUGGUGUGAGCCAGGAUGGCUCGCUCCUGUCCUCCCCGUUCCUCAAGGGCUUCCUGGCGGGCUAUGUGGUGGCCAAGCUGAGGGCCUCAGCAGUACUGGGCUUUGCCGUGGGCACCUGCACUGGCAUAUAUGCAGCUCAGACGUAUGCCGUGCCCAAUGUGGAGAAAACCGUGAGGGACUAUCUUCGGUCGCUGCGCAAGGGGCCCAACUAGCUCCAGAUCCCAUGGGGGAGGCAGGAGGAGCAGCCGGGGCCAGAGGCCGUACCUGGCCCCCCAGCUGUCACCCAUUUGCUGUCUCCACCUCUCCCACCUUCAUCCUUGCUUCCCUUCCUGCAGAGGCUGGACAGUGGCUCCUCAGCCGGCACCCUGGACUCCUUCCCUCCUUAACCCCGUGGGACUGGCCCCAAGGCGGUGGCUUCUAGGGCCAGUGGCCCUUUGCUCUUCUAGCCUUCGCUGUGGAGGCCGCAGCUGACUCCGAUUCUCAGUAUUCUCUCUGGCCAUGUGCCACAGCUCCUCUUUCCUGGGAGCCGGCUCUGAAACUUGACUCUCCCCAACCAUGUCACAAUCCCCAGCGUCCCCUUGCUAGCUCCUCAGCCCCCAAGGGUCUCAUUGGGCAUGAGUGUAGAGGACGGGGGUUUGCCAGGCCUGGGCGGCCCUGGGCAGGCGCGCUGGACCCUGAUGCUGCUCCUGUCCACUGCCACGUACGGUGCCCAUGCCCCGUUGCUGGCACUGUGCCAUGUGGAUGGCCGCGUGCCCUUCCGGCCCUCCUCGGCCGUGCUGCUGACUGAACUGACCAAGCUGCUCCUGUGCGCCCUCUCCCUCCUGGUGGGCUGGCAGGCCUGGCCCCCGAGGACCCCACCCUGGCGCCAGGCGGCCCCCUUCGCACUGUCAGCCCUGCUCUACGGCGCCAACAACAACUUGGUGAUCCACCUCCAGCACUACAUGGAUCCCAGCACCUACCAGGUGCUGAGCAACCUCAAGAUCGGCAGCACAGCGCUCUUCUACUGCCUCUGCCUCCGCCGCCGCCUCUCUGCGCGCCAGGGCUUGGCCCUGCUGCUGCUGAUGGCAGCGGGAGCCUGCUAUGCGGCUGGCGGCCUCCGGGACCCUGGGAGCCCCCUUCCUGAGUCCCCUUCCACGGCUGCCUCGGGCCCCGUGCCCCUGCACGUCACUGCUCCGGGCCUGCUGCUCCUCCUCCUGUACUGCCUCAUCUCCGGCUUGUCCUCCGUGUACACGGAGCUGCUCCUCAAGCGGCAGCGGCUGCCCCUGGCGCUUCAGAACCUCUUCCUCUACACGUUCGGUGUGCUCCUGAACCUGGGCCUGCAUGCAGGCGGCGGCCCCGGCCCAGGCCUCCUGGAGGGCUUCUCGGGGUGGGCGGCGCUCGUGGUGCUGAGCCAGGCCCUAAAUGGACUGCUCAUGUCGGCUGUCAUGAAGCACGGCAGCAGCAUCACGCGCCUCUUCGUCGUGUCCUGCUCGCUGGUGGUCAACGCCGUGCUCUCGGCCGCCCUGCUGCGCCUGCAGCUCACGGCCGCCUUCUUCCUGGCCGCGCUGCUCAUUGGCCUGGCUGUGCACCUGUAUUACGGCAGCCGCUAGCCCCCGACCGCCUCCAGCCUCCCUCCUGACCCGCGGAUGGGCGCCUCCCCUCAGCAGCCCUGUAACAAGUGCCUUGUGGGAAGAGCUGGGGAGGCGAGAGCAGCCACAUUCGGCUCUGCAGCACUCCUGCGAGACAGCCGCGCUCAUGUCCCCUGCCUCCCUCCGCCUUUUCCAGAGGAGACCGCUGAAGCUCGCAGAGGCCGGGCGACCUGCUGGUGAGUGGCAGCGCUGAAACUCAAGCCCAGUUCCGUCUGACACUAGAGCCUGGGACCUGAAUCGCUCUCCCAGACUGGCCUGUACACAAACACACUUCUUUCCCUUCCUGCUUUGUCCACGAGAGUGCGAACGGCCCCAACUUAAUCUUCCUCGUUCCACAGGGCCUGGCACGGGGUGAGGUCUGGGACUGUGUUGGCUCAAUGAAUGUGUGUCUGCUCCUUUUGUGGUCGGUCAGAGGGCCAGACCGUUUUCUGCACUCCUUUACUAAUUACAAACUUCACACGGAUUCAGAGGAUAGGAAAUCCGUCUGCUUAUCACCCAGCCUCAGCGGUUAUCAGCUCGUGAGUGUUCUUGUUUGAUCUUUUCCCUGCACUUGACUGCCCCCCAAUCUCUGACAUCAUGUCACUUCAAAGAUGCCUCAUCUUUAACGGGUGUGUGAAAACAGGCAAGCACCCUCUCUUUCCUCGUCUAUGAAUGAAACCUGCCUCCCAUCACCAUAAAUUCCGUCUGCCUCAUGGGGUUGUGGUAAGAGUCACAGCUAUCAGUCAGUGAAAAAUGCUUGGUAGGGAGUUCCUGUAUCUGACUAGUAUACAUGAGGACGCAGUUUGUGGUUUUUUGUUUUUUUUUUUUUUUUUUUGCUUUGUUUUUUGUCUUUUUAGGGCCGCACCCAAGGCAUAUGGAGAUUUCCAGGCUAGGGGUCUAAUAGGAGCUACAGCUGCCAGCCUCCACCACAGCCUCAGCAACACGGGAUCCGAGCUGCGUCUGAGACCUACACCACAGCUCACGACAAUGCUGGAUUCUUAACCCACUGAGCAAGGCCAGGGAUCAAAACUGCAUCCUCGGAGUUCCCGUCGUGGCGAGUGGUUAACGAAUCCGACUUGGCCGUGAGCUGCAGUGUAGGUCACAGACGAGGCUCGGAUCCAGCAUUGUUGUGGCUGUGGUGUAGGCCAGCAGCCACAGCUCUGAUUGUCCUCCUAGCUUUGGAACUUCCAUAUGCCUCGGGUGCAGCCCUAAAAAGCCAAAAAAAAAAAAAGCUUGGUAAACUGUUGAAGGCCUCUGAAAGGGUGAGGGGCUGCUCUUACUAUUGGCCCUGCCUCUCCAGGCUUUGGCAGCCCAGGCUUUCCGGGACCUUUCUGAAUCCUGGCCCGCCCAGAGGGUCAGGCUCUCUCUGGGCUCACGAGGGCUAGGGCUGCAGCUGGACGAAUGAGAAGUGGGGGAGGCCUAAGGCCAGAUCCUAGAGCUUCCCAAAGAGCCCCACACCCUCCCCAGGCCACCUUGAGGGUCCAGGCGAAGAAGAAGACUGCUGUAGUUGUUUCCUUCCAGGAGCCAUAGGACAAUCCAGGGCAGGGAGCCCUCCAUCUUCUCACCAACAGCGGUACCUGCGAGCACCUGCAGCAGGGGACAGUCUCUGCCAGAGGGGGGGCGGGGAAGAAAGCAGAUGUCCACUAGUGGUUGGAGAAAGAAACCGGCCCAAAUCACACUCUGAUGGAAACGUUGACUCUUUCCAGUCACUUCUGCACCACCAGACAGACCGGCCACCUUGCACAGAUCUUUAUUUUAUUAUUUUUUAAAUUACACAAAUAGGGAGUUCCCAUCGUGGCUCAGUGGUUAACGAAUCCAACUAGGAGCCAUGAGGUUGUGGGUUUGAUCCCUGGCCUGGCUCAGUGGGUUAAGGAUCCGGCAUUGCCAUGAGCUGUGGUGUAGGUCACAGACAUGGCUCAGAUCCCACAUUGCUGUGUCUCUGGCAUAGGCCGGCAGCUACGGCUCUGAUUAGACCCCUAGCCUGGGAACCUCCAUAUGCCGCGGGUGUGGCCCUAAAAGGACAAAAGACAAAAAUAAAUAAGUAAAUAAAUUACACAAAUAAUACAUUCUUAUAGUAAAAAAAAAGAAUUAAUUAUAUAUCCGACAGGGUACUUAUACCCAGAAUAUAUAAAGAGCUCUUACAUCUCAAUAAAAAGAAUACAACCCAA
Molecule: non-coding RNA, 3891 nt
Organism: Sus scrofa (pig)
Lineage: Eukaryota; Metazoa; Chordata; Mammalia; Artiodactyla; Suidae
Source: RefSeq, a predicted model, not a curated record